GUACAUUUGUUCUCCAGUCUGUCCUCGGUAGGUCGUGUGAAGAAGGUCUCAUAACAAAAGCAUGAUGAAAACCAAAGCGUGCGAAGUUGCGGUCAGUAUCAAUCAACUGGAGCCUGUAAAAAUCUCAAUCCUGAGAGACACAGGAAGGGCCACAAGUCCUCGCAGCUCUACUGCUCCUUCACCGAUAUUAUAAAUUCGAGGACAUGUAAAUGCCUUUGAAGACAAGCCCCACAUGCAAGGGAUAUUUUGCUCGUUCCUGAAGAUGUCGGAAACCCCAAGUCCCACCAAGCCUAACAUGGCCUAAGAGCUCUCAGUAAAGGUUCAUGGAACAAAAGAUGGGGGGAGGCUGUUUAUCCAGCCAGCGCAGCCCUCCAUCUCCAAUGCUGAGUUUCGAGCACAGAAUGUCUCACCAAAGGAACUCUGGCCAAACACAGAACCAAAACUACUGAUCUGUAAAUAAGACAAAUGUUCAACCAAA
Molecule: non-coding RNA, 478 nt
Organism: Rattus norvegicus (Norway rat)
Lineage: Eukaryota; Metazoa; Chordata; Mammalia; Rodentia; Muridae
Source: RefSeq, a predicted model, not a curated record